CAAUAGCGUAUAUCAAAGUUGUUGCAGUUAAAAAGCUCGUAGUUGGAUUUGUGGUUCGUCCCGCCGGCUGGGUCAUUGACUUUUGCUGUGCUGGUCGUCCAUCCUUGGGUGGAAUCUGUGUGGCAUUAGGUUGUCGCGCAGGGGAUGCCCAUCGUUUACUGUGAAAAAAUUAGAGUGUUCAAAGCAGGCUUAUGCCGUUGAAUAUAUUAGCAUGGAAUAAUGAUAUAGGACCUUGGUACUAUUUUGUUGGUUUGCGCACUGAGGUAAUGAUUAAUAGGGACAGUUGGGGGUAUUCGUAUUCCAUUGUAAGAGGUGAAAUUCUUGGAUUUUUGGAAGACGAACUACUGCGAAAGCAUUUACCAAGGAUGUUUUCAUUAA
This 378-nucleotide ribosomal RNA is filed under the name uncultured eukaryote. RNAcentral's name for it is "partial 18S ribosomal RNA". It matches the Rfam family "Eukaryotic small subunit ribosomal RNA", at positions 592 to 976 of the family's 1831-position model. The record is from RNAcentral.